CCCGGAGGUACCUACAUACAAAAGAUAUAAAUGACCUAAAUGUUGAUGGACAAAGAAGGAUUUGAGGAAAGGUGGGAGUCUGAAGAGCAAGAAAGAACUGCCAUGCCCGGAUAAUAACCAGAGGAGACAUCGACCAACAUUGACUCCAUCUGAGCUGGGAUGCUGACACAGUGCCCAUGCUUUCUAGCCUACCACCAGUACUGCCAACCCCAGGAGGUGUGUGGACCUUCAUCAUCCUACCUUUGAACUUCCCCUUCAGGGACAGUCUCCUGACACGACCUGCAUAGAUCCAGCGAUGCCCAGCUGUGGGGCCUAUAAAUACCAGGUGACAUUUAUUUAUUUAUUUAUUUAUUUAUUUAUUUUUCCAGGUGACAUUUAAAAGGCUGAUUUUUAUUAGUAGGUUCUACUUACCAGAACAUUGAGUUGCCCAUGCUCAGAAAAGCAUAAUCUCAUUUUUGUAACUUCCUUCUUUUAGUUAAUACCUAAUGAUUUGGGGAGUCAGAGGCAUCACCAAGAGAAAAUGAAUAUGUAAUAUAUUGCUCGAGUAUUCUUUGAAAGGACUUCCCAUUACACGAUGAG
RNAcentral lists this long non-coding RNA (579 nucleotides) under Bos indicus x Bos taurus (hybrid cattle). RNAcentral's name for it is "lncRNA (ENSBIXG00005009709.1)". The record is from RNAcentral. Lineage: Eukaryota; Metazoa; Chordata; Mammalia; Artiodactyla; Bovidae.